RNAcentral lists this transfer RNA (73 nucleotides) under Cricetulus griseus (Chinese hamster). It matches the Rfam family "tRNA". From Rfam's summary of the family: Transfer RNA (tRNA) molecules are approximately 80 nucleotides in length. Lineage: Eukaryota; Metazoa; Chordata; Mammalia; Rodentia; Cricetidae. The record is from Rfam by way of RNAcentral.
AGGGAUGUGUUUCAGUUCGUAGAGUGUUUGUCUGGCAUGCACAAGGCCCUGGGUUUGAGUCCCAGCAGCAUUU